This 292-nucleotide ribosomal RNA is filed under the name uncultured bacterium. RNAcentral's name for it is "partial 16S ribosomal RNA". It matches the Rfam family "Bacterial small subunit ribosomal RNA", at positions 337 to 643 of the family's 1533-position model. The record is from RNAcentral.
GCCUACGGGAGGCAGCAGUGGGGGAUAUUGGACAAUGGGGGGAACCCUGAUCCAGCGACGCCGCGUGAGUGAAGAAGUAUUGCGGUAUGUAAAGCUCUGUCAGCAGGGAAGAAAGAAAUGACGGUACCUGACCAAGAAGCCCCGGCUAACUACGUGCCAGCAGCCGCGGUAAUACGUAGGGGGCAAGCGUUAUCCGGAAUUACUGGGUGUAAAGGGAGCGUAGACGGUUAAGUAAGUCUGGAGUGAAAGGCCGGGGCCCAACGCCGGGACUGCUAUGGAAACUAUUCAACUU